UGAGGAAUAUUGGUCAAUGGGCGAGAGCCUGAACCAGCCAAGUAGCGGGCAGGAUGACGGCCCUAUGGGUUGUAAACUGCUUUUAUAUGGGAAUAAAGUGAGGGAGGUGUCCCUUAUUGCAUGUACCAUACGAAUAAGGACCGGCUAAUUCCGGGCCAGCAGCCGCGGUAAUACGGAAGGUCCAGGCGGUAUCUGGAUUUAUUGGGUUUAAAGGGAGCGUAGGCGGUUUGUUAAGCGUGUUGUGAAAUGUAGGAGCUCAACUUCUAGUUUGCAGCGCGAUGUGUCAGACGUGCGUGCGCACAACGUAGGCGGAAUUCAUGGUGUAGCGGGGGGAUGCUUGGAUAUCAUGAAGAACUACGAUUGCGAGGGCAGCUUGCGGGAGCGCAUCUGUCGCUGAAGCACGAAGGUGCGGGUAUCGAACAGG
This 424-nucleotide ribosomal RNA is filed under the name Verrucomicrobiota bacterium. RNAcentral describes it as "Verrucomicrobia bacterium partial 16S ribosomal RNA". It matches the Rfam family "Bacterial small subunit ribosomal RNA", at positions 355 to 776 of the family's 1533-position model. The record is from RNAcentral. Lineage: Bacteria; Pseudomonadati; Verrucomicrobiota.